Molecule: long non-coding RNA, 1112 nt
Organism: Diospyros lotus (date-plum)
Lineage: Eukaryota; Viridiplantae; Streptophyta; Magnoliopsida; Ericales; Ebenaceae
Exons: 4
Source: RefSeq, a predicted model, not a curated record
CUUCUCUUCGAUUCCUUUCUUCGUCCUACAUAUCAUCAUCAUCAUCAUUAAUAAUAAUAAUAAUAAUCCAGAUCCUCGAUCGAGUAUAUAUGGACACCACACCACAAUCGGAAUCCCCGCCGCUUGCAGAUAUAUUAGUGAGAGAUGUGAUUCUCUGGAGGAGGAAGAAGCUGAGCGUAAUUGUUCUCUGCGUGGCAACGGGGAUGUGGGUAGUACUGGAAGUUUAUCAGCUGAACAUCCUCACCGUUGCUUCUUGGCUGGCCAUGCUUCUUGUUAUCGCAGCCUUCUUGUGGGGCAACAUUCUCAGGCUCUUGAACAACCGAAUAUUUUGUUUACCAGUCCAAAGAGCUUCUUCCUCGUUCACUCUCUCUCUCUCUCCGACGUGCAUCUCCUCCACCUCCAGCGUGUCAUCCAGCUCCGGCGUUGGUCCUCCGUGUGUCUCCUCCUGCCGUCGUUGGUCCUCUCCAUGUCUCCUUCACCUCUAGCGACAUCUCUUUGUUCUCUUUCUUCUUCAGGAAAUUAUAUACAAGAAACUACUCUAUGCCAUAAGUGAGAGACAGGAAUAUUUGGACUUGUCAUAGGGUUUCCAAAGCUAACCAAUCAAUUUGUGUAUAUUUUUAUUGAAGAGAUUUUGAGUUCUUUUUUCUUUUGAAUUUUUUUGUUGGGUUUUUAAAUUGGGAGAAAAUGGUUUUUAGAGGCAACUUUUAGGUAAUGAAUGAUGAUAUAACUUUUAAGUAAUGGUUAACUGAGUAUAAGUUACUAAUUAAUUUUAUCUUUAGUUUAUUUUAUUCUUUUACCUAUUACUUUUAUUCAUCUCACACAUGUUAUAUAUUUUCAGGUUAUCAAUAAAGAGGUUCUUUUAGCUAGACAAGAUAUUGUGAAAUGAACAAUCUAUUAAAUAUCUUCAUGAGUUUACGUAAAAUAAUAUGUUGUGUGAGGAAAAUAAUCAUUUACAUUUUUAUUAUUACUUUUGUUGAGACACAAACGAGCAAUUGGAGUUACUAUUGGUCACUGAUCACGUUUGAACUAAAUUAUGAGUGUUUGUUUGAAUUAAAUUAUGAGAUUUUUUUUUAUGUAUUUAAAGCUAUCCUUAUUAGGUUAUUGAUCUACGC